AGGAGUUUAGGUUACACUCAGACCAAGAGCCUUCAAAGCCCUAAGCAAGUAUUAUCCACUUAACUCCUG
Molecule: non-coding RNA, 69 nt
Organism: Physeter macrocephalus (sperm whale)
Lineage: Eukaryota; Metazoa; Chordata; Mammalia; Artiodactyla; Physeteridae
Source: the annotation of a RefSeq genome assembly